This 253-nucleotide ribosomal RNA is filed under the name uncultured bacterium. RNAcentral's name for it is "partial 16S ribosomal RNA". It matches the Rfam family "Bacterial small subunit ribosomal RNA", at positions 524 to 776 of the family's 1533-position model. The record is from RNAcentral.
UACGAAGGGGGCUAGCGUUGCUCGGAAUUACUGGGCGUAAAGGGUGCGCAGGCGGCCAUGUGUGUCAGGUGUGAAAGCCCGAGGCUCAACCUCGGAAUUGCGCCUGAAACUACAUGGCUAGAGUACUGGAGAGGGUAGCGGAAUUCAUGGUGUAGCAGUGAAAUGCGUAGAUAUCAUGAGGAACACCAGAGGCGAAGGCGGCUACCUGGACAGUUACUGACGCUCAGGCACGAAAGCGUGGGGAGCAAAAGGG